GUCGUAGCGCACUCGGCGCUUGCCUGGAAGUUUAGGGGUUUAAAAAGAAGUUUUCUUCCCACACAGUGAACAGUGGACACUAAUGUUUUUGUCACUUUUUAUGGAAUCAAACUCAAAGUAAGGCACUCUUCCCAGCUUUUCUAGGGGAAUACCAGAGUGUUCCCAAGCUAGCCAGGAGUUCAAGGCAUUAAUCCCGCCCCAAAACGUCCCAGAUCUUAAUCAGAACAAGAACCCACAGGAUGUGGCACAAGACCAAGGCCUCACCCUGCAACACAAAGGAUCUACAUCCAGGCUACCAACCAAAGGACACCUCAGAUGCUUUGUGUCUUGAUCAGUGCUUACAAAAUAGUAAUACUGGAUUUUUUUCAUGUUUUGGCAGUGUACAACCCUGCAUAUCUACUGUCUAAAUUGCCUAGAUACCUAGAUUGUCUUCCAAAUAACUGUAAGAAAAUUUGAUGUUAUUUAAUAUGUACCUUCUUAUUUGUAGUAUAAUGAGAUAGAAGAUCAGGUUAGUCUUCCUUAAACAGCAAUGAAAAACGGAAUGAUUAGCACACAUUAAAGACUAAAAAUGUGAAAUUGAAACAAUGUUU
Oreochromis aureus is the source of this 590-nucleotide long non-coding RNA. The record is from Ensembl. NCBI's taxonomy places the organism in Eukaryota, Metazoa, Chordata, Actinopteri, Cichliformes, Cichlidae.